Non-coding RNA from Cyanobacteria bacterium 13_1_20CM_4_61_6, 78 nucleotides. The record is from Rfam. Lineage: Bacteria; Bacillati; Cyanobacteriota.
CUGAGCUGGAUGACGCGACGAGCGUCCCGUCCAGUUCUUGGGGGAGGGGGUUCCCGCGAGGGCACCUCCUUACCCGAC